This is a long non-coding RNA of Erinaceus europaeus (western European hedgehog), 359 nucleotides long. RefSeq lists it as uncharacterized. NCBI's taxonomy places the organism in Eukaryota, Metazoa, Chordata, Mammalia, Eulipotyphla, Erinaceidae. The transcript is spliced from 3 exons. The record is from RefSeq and is a predicted model, not a curated record.
GUUUGGGGGCAGUUAGGGAGGGUCCCUGGGCUCCGUCUCGGAGGCGCCUCUGGUGGUCCUCAGCCUGUGGCCCCGGCCGUGCGGGCGGACCCCCGGCACUGGGCCAGCCCAUUAAUUCAUACCUUUGUUCAGAAAAAUAUAUGGAGACAUCUAUACCCACAGAUUUCACACAAAUAUAAAUGAAGACAUGGAUAAAAAGAAAAGCAACAAAAGCCCCAGGAUUGUCAUAUAUGAAGAGGAAAUAUACAGAGAUAUCACACUAGCAACGAGCCAAUCAACUAAAACAGAAGUAAAGGAGAUGACUAGAACAAUUCCUGCAACCUUAGAGGCAGAGACGACAGAAGAUAUUUAUGAAGAUU